AGGACGAACGCUGGCGGCGUGCUUAACACAUGCAAGUCGAGCGGAAAGGCCCUUCGGGGUACUCGAGCGGCGAACGGGUGAGUAACACGUGAGUAACCUGCCCCUAGCUCUGGGAUAGCUCCGGGAAACCGGGAUUAAUACCAGAUACGACCACUUUAGACAUCUGUCGUGGUGGAAAGGAUUCCGGCUAGGGAUGGGCUCGCGGCCUAUCAGCUUGUUGGUGGGGUAACGGCCUACCAAGGCGACGACGGGUAGCCGGCCUGAGAGGGCGACCGGCCACACUGGGACUGAGACACGGCCCAGACUCCUACGGGAGGCAGCAGUGGGGAUAUUGCGCAAUGGGCGAAAGCCUGACGCAGCGACGCCGCGUGGGGGAUGAAGGCCUUCGGGUUGUAAACCCCGUUUCAGCAGGGACGAAGCGAAAGUGACGGUACCUGCAGAAGAAGCGCCGGCUAACUACGUGCCAGCAGCCGC
This 474-nucleotide ribosomal RNA is filed under the name uncultured bacterium. RNAcentral describes it as "SSU rRNA". It matches the Rfam family "Bacterial small subunit ribosomal RNA", at positions 26 to 518 of the family's 1533-position model. The record is from RNAcentral.